This is a non-coding RNA of Trichobilharzia regenti, 45 nucleotides long. The record is from Rfam. NCBI's taxonomy places the organism in Eukaryota, Metazoa, Platyhelminthes, Trematoda, Strigeidida, Schistosomatidae.
AUUCAGAUGACGAGUCACAAAUAGGACGAAAUGCGCAUCGUUGAU